GUGGGCGUGCUGGAGUGGUUAUCGGGCAUGACUAGAAAUCAUGUAUUCUUUGCCUGUGUGGGUUUGAAUCCUGCCGCUCACG
This is a transfer RNA of Ipomoea nil (Japanese morning glory), 82 nucleotides long. It matches the Rfam family "tRNA". From Rfam's summary of the family: Transfer RNA (tRNA) molecules are approximately 80 nucleotides in length. Their secondary structure includes four short double-helical elements and three loops (D, anti-codon, and T loops). Further hydrogen bonds mediate the characteristic L-shaped molecular structure. tRNAs have two regions of fundamental functional importance: the anti-codon, which is responsible for specific mRNA codon recognition, and the 3' end, to which the tRNAs corresponding amino acid is attached (by aminoacyl-tRNA synthetases). tRNAs cope with the degeneracy of the genetic code in two manners: having more than one tRNA (with a specific anti-codon) for a particular amino acid; and 'wobble' base-pairing, i.e. permitting non-standard base-pairing at the 3rd anti-codon position. Lineage: Eukaryota; Viridiplantae; Streptophyta; Magnoliopsida; Solanales; Convolvulaceae. The record is from Rfam.